RNAcentral lists this ribosomal RNA (542 nucleotides) under uncultured Dinobryon. RNAcentral's name for it is "partial Eukaryotic large subunit ribosomal RNA". It matches the Rfam family "Eukaryotic large subunit ribosomal RNA", at positions 1372 to 1971 of the family's 3401-position model. Lineage: Eukaryota; Chrysophyceae; Chromulinales. The record is from RNAcentral.
CCAUUUGGUGUAGGAGGGCGUGGUCCAUACUUGGAAGUCUCUGUGUGAACAGAGGCGGAGUGUGGACUAGUGUAGAUCUUGGUGGUAGUAGCAAGUAUUCCAAUGAGAACUUGGAAGACUGAAGAGGAGAAGGUUUUCAUGAGACUGCAGUAGGUCAUGAGUGACCCGACCCUAACUCCAGGGAAAGGGGAUGUGGUUAACAUUCCACAGGUAGGCGUUGCAGAGUGGCGACACUAGCAACUGCAAGACGGCGGGGACGUCCCGGGGAGAGUUCUCUUUUCUGCUUAACACCAUGACUGUCUGGAAGGCCUUUACGGCGAGAGAGACGCUAGUGGUGGAAGAGCAGCACACUCUUAGUGCUGUCCGGAGUGCUGUUCACGCCCCUUGAAAAUUGCAGUUGUGCUGCAGGCCUAGUCGUACCGAAUCCGCAACAGGUCUCCAAGGUUAGCAGCCUCUAGUGGUAGAGUAAUGUAGGUAAGGGAAGUCGGCAAACUGGAUCUGUAACUUCGGGAGAAAGAUUGGCUCUGAGGGCCAGGCACACC